This 543-nucleotide ribosomal RNA is filed under the name uncultured bacterium. RNAcentral describes it as "bacterial SSU rRNA". It matches the Rfam family "Bacterial small subunit ribosomal RNA", at positions 370 to 917 of the family's 1533-position model. The record is from RNAcentral.
UUUCGACGCUUCUCAGACAGCAUGCCGCGUGGAGGAGAAGGUCCUCUGGAUUGUAAAAACUUUUCUCUGGGACGAAACCCCCGAUUUCCAUCGGGCCUGACGGUACCAGAGGAAUAAGCACCGGCUAACUCCGUGCCAGCAGCCGCGGUAAUACGGAGGGUGCAAGCGUUAUCCGGAUUCACUGGGUUUAAAGGGUGCGUAGGCGGGUUUGUAAGUCAGUGGUGAAAUCCCCGAGCUUAACUUGGGAACUGCCAUUGAUACUGCAAGUCUUGAAUUUUCUGGAGGUAAGCGGAAUAUGUCAUGUAGCGGUGAAAUGCUUAGAUAUGACAUAGAACACCCAUUGCGAAGGCAGCUUACUACGGGAAUAUUGACGCUGAGGCACGAAAGCGUGGGGAUCAAACAGGAUUAGAUACCCUGGUAGUCCACGCCCUAAACGAUGAUUACUCGACAUUAGCGAUAUUACAGUUAGUGUCUAAGCGAAAGCAUUAAGUAAUCCACCUGGGAAGUACGACCGCAAGGUUGAAACUCAAAGGAAUUGACGGA